This 400-nucleotide ribosomal RNA is filed under the name uncultured bacterium. Its description in RNAcentral is "bacterial SSU rRNA". It matches the Rfam family "Bacterial small subunit ribosomal RNA", at positions 355 to 747 of the family's 1533-position model. The record is from RNAcentral.
UAGGGAAUAUUGCGCAAUGGGCGAAAGCCUGACGCAGCGACGCCGCGUGAGUGAUGAAGGCCUUCGGGUCGUAAAGCUCUGUUGUACGGGAAGAAGGUUGCAUACCUAAUACGUAUGCAAUUUGACGGUACCGUAUAAGAAAGGACCGGCUAACUUCGUGCCAGCAGCCGCGGUAAGACGAGGGGUCCUAGCGUUGUUCGGAAUCACUGGGCGUAAAGCGUUUGUAGGCGGCCCUGCAAGUCGGGUGUGAAAUCCCACGGCUCAACCGUGGAAGUGCAUUCGAAACUGCAGGGCUUGAAUAUGGAAGAGGAGAGUAGAAUUCCAGGUGUAGUGGUGAAAUACGUAGAUAUCUGGAGGAAUACCGGUGGCGAAGGCGGCUCUCUGGUCCAAUAUUGACGCU